UAAGUAGGGCAGAUAAUCGCGGCUGCAAGUGUCGAAAGACCGCAGGUGAGGAAAGUCCGGGCUUCAUAGGGCAGGAUGCCGGCUAACGGCCGGUGGAGGUGACUCCAAGGACAGUGCAACAGAAAUAUACCGCCAGGUAACUGGUAAGGGUGGAAGGGCAGUGUAAGAGACUACCGCCUGUCUGGUAACAGACAGGGCAUAUGUAAACCCCAUCCGAAGCAAGACCGAAUAAAAGCGUUGACGUGGCCCGCCAGCUUUAGGUAGGUCGCUUGAGAUAACUGGCAACAGUUAUACUAGAUAGAUGAUUAUCCACGACAUAACCCGGCUUACAGCCCUGCUUAUUUU
This 345-nucleotide RNase P RNA is filed under the name Roseburia sp. 499. Its description in RNAcentral is "RNase P RNA component class A". It matches the Rfam family "Bacterial RNase P class A". Rfam says of the family: Ribonuclease P (RNase P) is a ubiquitous endoribonuclease, found in archaea, bacteria and eukarya as well as chloroplasts and mitochondria. Its best characterised activity is the generation of mature 5'-ends of tRNAs by cleaving the 5'-leader elements of precursor-tRNAs. The record is from RNAcentral. Lineage: Bacteria; Bacillati; Bacillota; Clostridia; Lachnospirales; Lachnospiraceae.